RNAcentral lists this transfer RNA (76 nucleotides) under Gammaproteobacteria bacterium. RNAcentral describes it as "tRNA-Lys". It matches the Rfam family "tRNA". From Rfam's summary of the family: Transfer RNA (tRNA) molecules are approximately 80 nucleotides in length. Their secondary structure includes four short double-helical elements and three loops (D, anti-codon, and T loops). Lineage: Bacteria; Pseudomonadati; Pseudomonadota; Gammaproteobacteria. The record is from RNAcentral.
GGGGUGCUAGCUCAGUAGGUAGAGCAUCUGACUUUUAAUCAGGUGGUCACAGGUUCGAUCCCUGUACACCCCACCA